Molecule: ribosomal RNA, 422 nt
Filed under: uncultured bacterium
Lineage: Bacteria
Description: bacterial SSU rRNA
Rfam family: Bacterial small subunit ribosomal RNA
Source: RNAcentral
UGAGGAAUAUUGGUCAAUGGGCGCAAGCCUGAACCAGCCAUGCCGCGUGCAGGAUGAAGCAUCGAUGGUGGGUAAAGUGCUUUGGUAAGGGAAGAAACCACCACUCGUGAGGGGUAUUGACGGUACCGGAAGAAGAAGGAACGGUUAACUCCGUGAUAGCAGACGAGGUAAUACGGAGGAUCCGAGCGUUAUCUGGAAUCAUUGGGUUUAAAGGGUUCGUAGGCGGUUUAAUAAGUCAGUGGUGAAAGCCCAUCGCUCAACGAUGGAACGGCCAUUGAUACUGUUCUACUUGAAUUACAAUGACAUAACUAGAAUAUGUAUUGUAGCGGUGAAAUCCUUAGAUAUUACAUACAAUACCAAUUACUAAGGCAGGUUACUACUUGUGGAUUGACUCUGAUGUACGAAAGCGUGGGUAGCGAACA